GAUGAAGAACGCAGCGAAAUGCGAUAAGUAGUGUGAAUUGCAGACUUUAGUGAAUCAUCGAAUCUUUGAACGCACAUUGCGCCCUGUGGUAUUCCGCAGGGCAUGCCUGUUCGAGCGUCAUUUCAACCCUCAAGCUCUGCUUGGUGUUGGGCCCUGCCCGCUGCGGCCGGCCCUAAAGACAGUGGCGGUGCCGCCUGGCCCUGAGCGUAGUACAUCUCUCGCUCCAGUGCCCGGUGGUAGCCUGCCAGAACCCCAACUCUCGUGGUUGACCUCGGAUCAGGUAGGGAUACCCGCUGAACUUAAGCAUAUCAAUAAGCGGAGGA
RNAcentral lists this unclassified non-coding RNA (323 nucleotides) under soil metagenome. RNAcentral's name for it is "partial contains 5.8S ribosomal RNA, internal transcribed spacer 2, and large subunit ribosomal RNA". The stretch from base 1 to 120 matches the Rfam family "5.8S ribosomal RNA", at positions 35 to 154 of the family's 154-position model. The record is from RNAcentral.